UCCAUCCGAGCUGGUUGUCAGUGGCUCUCACGUGUAACCCCAGCUUUCAGGAGGCAGAGAUCUGAGGAUCUGGUUCCAAGCCAUCCCAGGCAGCCACAGCCGUG
This is a long non-coding RNA of Perognathus longimembris pacificus (Pacific pocket mouse), 104 nucleotides long. RefSeq lists it as uncharacterized. The transcript is spliced from 4 exons. NCBI's taxonomy places the organism in Eukaryota, Metazoa, Chordata, Mammalia, Rodentia, Heteromyidae. The record is from RefSeq and is a predicted model, not a curated record.